Molecule: long non-coding RNA, 338 nt
Organism: Cebus imitator (Panamanian white-faced capuchin)
Lineage: Eukaryota; Metazoa; Chordata; Mammalia; Primates; Cebidae
Exons: 4
Source: RefSeq, a predicted model, not a curated record
UGCCCUGAGGAACCCUGGGAAGGCGUCAGGCCUGGUUAGGUGCUGGUUGCGAUGGAGCCUAGGGCCAGGAGGCAACUUCGGGGAUCUGGGACCAUGGAGAACCCUUCCACAUAAAGAAGACCUACUUCUUGGAUUUGAGGUCUUGAAGUUAAUAAUGAUCUGAUUCAUUCAGAGAUGAAGAAGAUGAUGUUAACAACCAAGGGUGUCUGGAUGCUCUGGUCUUUGUACGAUCAACUCUUUUGAUUACUACAGCAGAGUGGUGAACUAGACAGCCUGGCUUUGCCUCUUACUGCCUUGGGUGAUCUUGGGGUUCAAAAGAUUCUCCUGCAUCAGCCUCC